RNAcentral lists this ribosomal RNA (253 nucleotides) under uncultured bacterium. Its description in RNAcentral is "partial 16S ribosomal RNA". It matches the Rfam family "Bacterial small subunit ribosomal RNA", at positions 524 to 776 of the family's 1533-position model. The record is from RNAcentral. RNAcentral also lists the same sequence under 1 other name.
UACGUAGGCAGCGAGCGUUGUUCGGAAUUACUGGGCGUAAAGAGUGUGUAGGCGGCGCUCUAAGUUCGGUGUGAAAUCUCUCGGCUUAACUGGGAGGGUGCGCCGGAAACUGGAGUGCUCGAACGUGGGAGAGGAAAGCGGAAUUCCUGGUGUAGCGGUGAAAUGCGUAGAUAUCAGGAGGAACACCUGCGGUGUAGACGGCUUUCUGGACCAUUGUUGACGCUGAGACACGAAAGCGUGGGUAGCAAACAGG